RNAcentral lists this small RNA (125 nucleotides) under Marmota monax (woodchuck). Lineage: Eukaryota; Metazoa; Chordata; Mammalia; Rodentia; Sciuridae. The record is from RNAcentral.
GCUGAGUACAGUGGUGCACACCUGUAAUCCCAGCUUCUUGGGAGGCUGAGGCAGGAGGAUCACAAGUUCAAAGCCAGCCUCAGCAACAGUGAGGUGCUAAGCCACUCUGUGAGACCCUGUCUCUA